This 439-nucleotide ribosomal RNA is filed under the name uncultured bacterium. RNAcentral describes it as "partial 16S ribosomal RNA". It matches the Rfam family "Bacterial small subunit ribosomal RNA", at positions 339 to 795 of the family's 1533-position model. The record is from RNAcentral.
CUACGGGUCGCUCCAGUGAGGAAUAUUGCACAAUGGGGGGAACCCUGAUGCAGCAACGCCGCGUGGAGGAUGACGCCUUUCGGUGUGUAAACCCCUUUUAUAUGUCAAGAAAAUGACGGUAGCAUAUGAAUAAGCACCGGCUAACUCCGUGCCAGCAGCCGCGGUAAUACGGAGGGUGCAAGCGUUACUCGGAAUCACUGGGCGUAAAGGACGCGUAGGCGGGUUGGAAAGUCAGGUGUGAAAUCCUACAGCUUAACUGUAGAACUGCACUUGAAACUUCUAAUCUAGAGUAUGGGAGGGGGAAAUGGAAUUAGUGGUGUAGGGGUGAAAUGCGUAGAUAUCUCAAGGAAUACCUAAGGCGAAGGCGAUCUACUGGACCAUUACUGACGCUAAGGCGUGAAAGCGUGGGGAGCAAACAGGAUUAGAUACCCGGGUAGUC